Molecule: long non-coding RNA, 469 nt
Organism: Erigeron canadensis
Lineage: Eukaryota; Viridiplantae; Streptophyta; Magnoliopsida; Asterales; Asteraceae
Exons: 2
Source: RefSeq, a predicted model, not a curated record
GGUGCACCUCGAUCACUUUCUACCGCUCUCCCCAAAUGGCGGCGACUUCAAUUCUCUGGAGAAAGUGAACCUCUCUUUUGGAACCGGAGGAGAGGCAUAAUGGUUCACAACUAUUCAAUUUGUUCCAAAUAACCUGCAAGACCAAAUUCCUGAAUCUUGGUGUGGACAUCAUUGAGUAUCGAUCAAAGUGUGUUGUGCUGUUAAUGAUGGAAGUGCUUCAAAACUUCCUAAGCAACGUGGCUAAAGAGUCAAGAGUUGAAGAAGUCAAGUAGUGGAGUUGUGGGGCCGUUUCUCAUGCAAGUGGAGUUCAUGUUUUCCUUAUUUUUAGUUAAAGAAUAAGUCAUGAUAGACGUUAGUUGGUUCCUUUUAUUUCUGCAUUUUAGUUAGUCUCUUUCCAUUAUUUAAAGGCCCCCCAUUACUGUAUUUUGACAUGAGAAAUAAAAAGAAAUAUCCCUUUCAAUUAUUAUCA